UACAAUGGUAGGUAUAAUGGGCAAAACCGCGAGGUUGAGGAAAUCCCCAAAACCUGCCUCAGUUCGGAUUGCAGUCUGCAACUCGACUGCAUGAAGCUGGAAUCGCUAGUAAUCGCAGAUCAGCAUGCUGCGGUCGAAUACGUUCCCGGGCCUU
Molecule: ribosomal RNA, 154 nt
Filed under: uncultured Chlorobiales bacterium
Lineage: Bacteria; Pseudomonadati; Chlorobiota; Chlorobiia; Chlorobiales
Description: partial 16S ribosomal RNA
Rfam family: Bacterial small subunit ribosomal RNA
Source: RNAcentral